UUUUCGGCGUUAAUUUUUCCAAAUCCAAAAUCACAAUCACGCUGCGUGUGACUCUGUCUCCACACUAUAAUAAUACGACAGUUACACUCUUCACACAAAUUUUCAACAACACCAAAACGUAACGGUCAAAUUUUCGCUCCCAUUUUUUCAAUUCAUUCAUUAAAUUAAAAUCACUCACAAAAAAAAAAUCACGCUCGCGUUUUCUUCUCUGGUUCUACAUUAGCUUAAUUUUUUU
This 235-nucleotide long non-coding RNA is filed under the name Trifolium pratense (red clover). RNAcentral's name for it is "long non-coding RNA (TPRA_LNC003900)". The record is from RNAcentral. Lineage: Eukaryota; Viridiplantae; Streptophyta; Magnoliopsida; Fabales; Fabaceae.